This is a small nucleolar RNA of Synchiropus splendidus (mandarinfish), 289 nucleotides long. The record is from RefSeq and is a predicted model, not a curated record. NCBI's taxonomy places the organism in Eukaryota, Metazoa, Chordata, Actinopteri, Syngnathiformes, Callionymidae.
GCCCAAUGAUGAUACCAAGGCGAAUACGAGCUGACUGUGUCAGAGUUUGGGGUCUUCUUGCCUUUCGUGGGCAGGUAAUCUUGGCAGUGUUGACUAGUGUUACGGCUCUGCUGUAAGGGCCUGCCAACAAUGUACCGGCUUCUCCCAUGUUAAUCUUUACAAGUUAUGAAUGAGAAGUUCAUGGGAACUUGCCAACAGUGUGAGUGUGUUGUGUGUGUGUUUGAGGCAAGAAGUUCCAUCUGCUCUAAAUACAGUCGGCAGUGAGUUCCAUCUUUUUAUUCUGAGGGUG